Non-coding RNA from Dermacentor albipictus, 1363 nucleotides. NCBI's taxonomy places the organism in Eukaryota, Metazoa, Arthropoda, Arachnida, Ixodida, Ixodidae. The record is from RefSeq and is a predicted model, not a curated record.
GAUAUCAAGCUUGGAACCUACGAGCACAUGCUAAGAAGCCGAGCGUCUUGUCCACUGGUCUAAACAUCGACGCUUGCAGAAGGACAAUAUAUCUGAAAGGAUGUGUUGUACCGCCGAUCGAAAACAAAUGCCAAAGGAGAACGGUUUCUAUGGAAACUUCGCGGAAACAUUAGAUGACGGUGCAAUUUAAGCUAUCUCUAAGACCACGUGUAGAGCCAACUUAGAGCCUUGUAGACAACAGGAAAACUCCUAUUUUGCCAAAAUGUACUGCCACACUCCACAUGCUCAUUGAUUUUCGGUCCUCCAUUGGUGGCGUUUCUUCAAUAACCUAAAUGCCAAAAGGAAAGACAGGAUGUCUAUCGUGGUUAGUUAAACCACUAUAUGCUUAUUCGUAACUUAAACAUUAUUAGAGGAGCAUUAUUCAACUGUGGCACUAUUUCACAAAUCUCAACCACAUGUCUGGCGCUCUCUUGUAGGUACUUUCGCGCCUGGAUCAUCCGCACCCUCCCUAAAGUUGGACUCGUUUAUCCACAUCGAAGGCGUAUGCAUCCAAAAAUUGUGGACGAUGGCGCAAAAGAGGAGGGCUAUGGCUUCAUUCAUCUGUUCUUCUUCAUGUACCUAGAUUCGAGAUACGUAUGGCAGCGGAGAAGCGACGACCCUGGCUAGUUGAUUUCCUGUUGUUUUUCCGCAAGAAGUGUAGAAAGCCUUGAAGGGGUGUUUUUUGCUUUUUUAUUAGAUAAGUAAACCUUGCUAUUUUGAUAUCACAAUUACCUACUAUUGCUCUGUGCAUUGCUACGCUCCAAAUCAUCAGUGCGCAAUCUUCGGGUGCUUCCCACUAGGCAGCCCCUUCUUCAGCGCCCAACCAGACGACAACGUAGCUCCGACGCUGACUUCGGGCGGGUCAACGAGCCCCGAACUCUGUAAGUGCGGUAACAACUACGAAGGCCAGGCUUGCCGGGUCGCUACAAGUUGACCGUCACGGAGAGCCCACUAUCUGAUGCAAGAGACAACGUCGAGGACAUCAAUCGCAACUGCGUCCAAUUCAGGUUCACCGAUUGUCACGUGAUUGCUUCGUAUCGCGCAAUAUUGGGGGGUGAAGUCCGGCUGAAUCGUGCUACGUCAUUGGUAGAUUUUAAGGAACGAUUCGGCGAAUAUGAUUGGCCGAGGCACACAUUGCCUCGUCUAGUAACCUAGGCAAGGCGACUGCUUUAAAAGCGGACACCUUUGGUGCAGCGAUUGCGUCCCCACGUUUGCUGAUGACAUGUGUGGGUACUCAGGCAUGCUGUGAGCUCCUACGUGUAGUGGGCGCCUAUAUCUCGAUCCAGUGUAAACAUGUAAAAUAAAUAUUUAUUUUUUUCGCUCC